Molecule: ribosomal RNA, 458 nt
Filed under: uncultured bacterium
Lineage: Bacteria
Description: bacterial SSU rRNA
Rfam family: Bacterial small subunit ribosomal RNA
Source: RNAcentral
AACGAACGCUGGCGGCAGGCUUAACACAUGCAAGUCGAACGCCCCGCAAGGGGAGUGGCAGACGGGUGAGUAACGCGUGGGAACGUACCUUUCAGUUCGGAAUAACUCAGGGAAACUUGUGCUAAUACCGGAUACGCCCGCAAGGGGAAAGAUUUAUCGCUGAAAGAUCGGCCCGCGUUGGAUUAGCUAGUUGGUGGGGUAAAGGCCUACCAAGGCGACGAUCCAUAGCUGGUCUGAGAGGAUGAUCAGCCACACUGGGACUGAGACACGGCCCAGACUCCUACGGGAGGCAGCAGUGGGGAAUAUUGGACAAUGGGCGCAAGCCUGAUCCAGCCAUGCCGCGUGUGUGAUGAAGGCCUUAGGGUUGUAAAGCACUUUCACCGAUGAAGAUAAUGACGGUAGUCGGAGAAGAAGCCCCGGCUAACUUCGUGCCAGCAGCCGCGGUAAGAGUACUCUAU